UGUCAGCGACUUGUUGACCUCCUCCUUCACCACACCGUCCGAGAACGCCAGCGGGAUACGAGCAGGACGCACCUACUUCCACCGCUCCAAUGCCUCGAUGCCGCCCCAGCCGCACCGCGCCCUGCCUUCGAGCAGACCUCCAACGGUGGUCCGGACUUCGACGGUUCUCACGCGACUCACGGGCAGCGUGCUGGGCUAGCAAGUCGCUGCGGAUCGCUGGGCGCGAACCGCGACUUCCUCGCCACGACCGUCGGCGCCGACAGCCGUGGCCAGGAUGUCGAGCCACGUCACCCGAGUUUCGCCGUCGUGAUUCGCCCGACAUUGGUUUCUGCCGGACGCUCGCUCGCCUUCUUCGACCCGCUCGAAGGCUCAAGCCGGUUACAGCUGCAAGAGAAGGAGAUCGAGGUUCGAGACUGCAUCUUGGCCAUACAAGCUUGCUCGGAAUCGCUAUUCGCUUCGCGCUGCCGCGACGCAAGCUCGCACAGACUUGCUCCUGCCUUCCGUUCGAUGCCUUGCCCGUUCUUACUACGACGAAGUCUCGUCGCUCACCCUCGGCCUGCGAAAUCCUCUACGACCUCGACAACAACUCCCCAAGAACUCCCGCCUCCCAUCCUCCUUCCAACACAACGUCAUUCGCUCGCGGGUUGACACAAUGACGCAGGGAGAAUUUGUCGGGGAUUUGAUGGAGCGGUCGCGCAGCGGAUAGCUCAACCUCUUGGGGCACUUGAUUUGGGUUGCUUGGUUCUCGGGUGUCGGACGCUCGAGCAAGGCGUGGCGAAGGGAGCGCAAGAAGCUCGGUUGAUUGUCGUAUUGCCGUGCCAGAGACUUGCAACACAGACUAGGGGUCGCCUGGCGAGCGAGAGCGCAGCGUUCAACGCCCUCUG
Molecule: unclassified non-coding RNA, 884 nt
Filed under: Rhodotorula toruloides
Lineage: Eukaryota; Fungi; Basidiomycota; Microbotryomycetes; Sporidiobolales; Sporidiobolaceae
Source: RNAcentral